This 601-nucleotide ribosomal RNA is filed under the name uncultured bacterium. Its description in RNAcentral is "bacterial SSU rRNA". It matches the Rfam family "Bacterial small subunit ribosomal RNA", at positions 321 to 916 of the family's 1533-position model. The record is from RNAcentral.
GAGACACGGCCCAGACUCCUACGGGAGGCAGCAGUGGGGAAUUUUGGACAAUGGGGGAAACCCUGAUCCAGCAAUGCCGCGUGUGUGAAGAAGGCCUUCGGGUUGUAAAGCACUUUUGUCCGGAAAGAAAACCUCUGCCCUAAUACGGUGGGGGGAUGACGGUACCGGAAGAAUAAGCACCGGCUAACUACGUGCCAGCAGCCGCGGUAAUACGUAGGGUGCAAGCGUUAAUCGGAAUUACUGGGCGUAAAGCGUGCGCAGGCGGUUCGCUAAGACAGAUGUGAAAUCCCCGGGCUUAACCUGGGAACUGCAUUUGUGACUGGCGGGCUAGAGUAUGGCAGAGGGGGGUAGAAUUCCACGUGUAGCAGUGAAAUGCGUAGAGAUGUGGAGGAAUACCGAUGGCGAAGGCAGCCCCCUGGGCCAAUACUGACGCUCAUGCACGAAAGCGUGGGGAGCAGACAGGAUUAGAUACCCUGGUAGUCCACGCCCUAAACGAUGUCAACUAGUUGUCGGGUCUUCAUUGACUUGGUAACGUAGCUAACGCGUGAAGUUGACCGCCUGGGGAGUACGGUCGCAAGAUUAAAACUCAAAGGAAUGACGG